UUUAUGUGCAACCAUAAGUUUUCUUGCCUAACUUUGAUCAUAUGUCUUAUUUAUUUUUUUUAUAAUUAAUAUUUUUAUUGCUAUAAGAUAAUAAAACAUGAAUAGUAUUUUAUGUGCGACUUAUGUUUUUAAAUUUUUUUAAAAUAUUUUUAAAUAAGACGGACGGUCAAAGUUGGACAUAGAAAAAUAUAAUUGUACUUAUA
Molecule: non-coding RNA, 203 nt
Organism: Oryza meridionalis
Lineage: Eukaryota; Viridiplantae; Streptophyta; Magnoliopsida; Poales; Poaceae
Source: Rfam